GGUAUCAGAAGUGCGAAUGCUGACAUAAGUAACGAUAAAGCGGGUGAAAAGCCCGCUCGCCGGAAGACCAAGGGUUCCUGUCCAACGUUAAUCGGGGCAGGGUGAGUCGACCCCUAAGGCGAGGCCGAAAGGCGUAGUCGAUGGGAAACGGGUUAAUAUUCCCGUACUUGGUGUUACUGCGAAGGGGGGACGGAGAAGGCUAUGUUGGCCGGGCGACGGUUGUCCCGGUUUAAGCGUGUAGGUGUGUGUUCCAGGUAAAUCCGGUUCACUUUAACACUGAGGCGUGAUGACGAGGCACUACGGUGCUGAAGCAACAAAUGCCCUGCUUCCAGGAAAAGCCUCUAAGCAUCAGGUAACAUCAAAUCGUACCCCAAACCGACACAGGUGGUCAGGUAGAGAAUACCAAGGCGCUUGAGAGAACUCGGGUGAAGGAACUAGGCAAAAUGGUGCCGUAACUUCGGGAGAAGGCACGCUGACAUGUAGGUGAAGUGAUUUACUCAUGGAGCUGAAGUCAGUCGAAGAUACCAGCUGGCUGCAACUGUUUAUUAAAAACACAGCACUGUGCAAACACGAAAGUGGACGUAUACGGUGUGACGCCUGCCCGGUGCCGGAAGGUUAAUUGAUGGGGUCAGCGCAAGCGAAGCUCCUGAUCGAAGCCCCGGUAAACGGCGGCCGUAACUAUAACGGUCCUAAGGUAGCGAAAUUCCUUGUCGGGUAAGUUCCGACCUGCACGAAUGGCGUAAUGAUGGCCAGGCUGUCUCCACCCGAGACUCAGUGAAAUUGAACUCGCUGUGAAGAUGCAGUGUACCCGCGGCAAGACGGAAAGACCCCGUGAACCUUUACUAUAGCUUGACACUGAACAUUGAGCCUUGAUGUGUAGGAUAGGUGGGAGGCUUUGAAGUGUGGACGCCAGUCUGCAUGGAGCCAACCUUGAAAUACCACCCUUUAAUGUUUGAUGUUCUAACGUGGACCCGUAAUCCGGGUUGCGGACAGUGUCUGGUGGGUAGUUUGACUGGGGCGGUCUCCUCCUAAAGAGUAACGGAGGAGCACGAAGGUUGGCUAAUCCUGGUCGGACAUCAGGAGGUUAGUGCAAUGGCAUAAGCCAGCUUGACUGCGAGCGUGACGGCGCGAGCAGGUGCGAAAGCAGGUCAUAGUGAUCCGGUGGUUCUGAAUGGAAGGGCCAUCGCUCAACGGAUAAAAGGUACUCCGGGGAUAACAGGCUGAUACCGCCCAAGAGUUCAUAUCGACGGCGGUGUUUGGCACCUCGAUGUCGGCUCAUCACAUCCUGGGGCUGAAGUAGGUCCCAAGGGUAUGGCUGUUCGCCAUUUAAAGUGGUACGCGAGCUGGGUUUAGAACGUCGUGAGACAGUUCGGUCCCUAUCUGCCGUGGGCGCUGGAGAACUGAGGGGGGCUGCUCCUAGUACGAGAGGACCGGAGUGGACGCAUCACUGGUGUUCGGGUUGUCAUGCCAAUGGCACUGCCCGGUAGCUAAAUGCGGAAGAGAUAAGUGCUGAAAGCAUCUAAGCACGAAACUUGCCCCGAGAUGAGUUCU
This 1551-nucleotide ribosomal RNA is filed under the name Salmonella enterica subsp. enterica serovar Ealing. Its description in RNAcentral is "bacterial LSU rRNA". It matches the Rfam family "Bacterial large subunit ribosomal RNA", at positions 1278 to 2812 of the family's 2925-position model. Lineage: Bacteria; Pseudomonadati; Pseudomonadota; Gammaproteobacteria; Enterobacterales; Enterobacteriaceae. The record is from RNAcentral.